GGAAGUAAAAGCGUAACAAGAUUUCCGUAGGUGAACCUGCGGAAGGAUCAUUACCUAGAGUUUGUAGACUUCGGUCUGCUACCUCUUACCCAUGUCUUUUGAGUACCUUCGUUUCCUCGGCGGGUCCGCCCGCCGAUUGGACAACAUUCAAACCCUUUGCAGUUGCAAUCAGCGUCUGAAAAAACAUAAUAGUUACAACUUUCAACAACGGAUCUCUUGGUUCUG
This 225-nucleotide unclassified non-coding RNA is filed under the name plant metagenome. RNAcentral's name for it is "partial contains small subunit ribosomal RNA, internal transcribed spacer 1, and 5.8S ribosomal RNA". The stretch from base 1 to 53 matches the Rfam family "Eukaryotic small subunit ribosomal RNA", at positions 1778 to 1831 of the family's 1831-position model. The record is from RNAcentral.